Molecule: RNA transcript, 4031 nt
Organism: Rosa rugosa (rugosa rose)
Lineage: Eukaryota; Viridiplantae; Streptophyta; Magnoliopsida; Rosales; Rosaceae
Exons: 7
Source: RefSeq, a predicted model, not a curated record
ACAAAGAAAUUGGUAGGGUGAUAAUAGCCACACCAUUUAUUUUGCAUUAAGUAAUUGUUCCAGAUUCAUUUAAAGAAAAAAAAAAAGUACUAAUAAACGAAAACGACAUUCAUAGCGGAGUCGUUUAUAUUUUUUUUGGUUAGAGUACAGAAAAAUGGUGGAACCGUGGAACUAAUAUUUUUGGUUCCCAACUCCCAUGGAAACCAAAUAUUUGCUUCUCUGACAUCCAUUCACCUGAAAAAUGGGUGAAGAUCAUAUAUUUCAAGGUCAUCAAUGGCUUACUGAUUGUUGUGACUCUUGCGCUGGGGAGCUCUUCCCAGGCACUUCAUACUGACUCGAAUCUGCAUAGGCUUCUUUUCGCUUUGCAUUGAUGUAUGUUUGCUUGUUUUUAUGCAUGGGCAAAUACUGUUAUGUGCUACUUCAACUGCCCAUGAUGACUGGUGGCUCCUCCAUGUUCAUCAAUACGUGUGCAGUACUGCAGUUACAGGCAUUUGUGAGUGAUGAAAGGAAAAAGAUCCUCAAUGGAAGACACUGGACCUGUCAGUUGCAUUGCAUGGACGUCUGAUAAUUCUGCUUUUGCAGUCGGGUGGAAGUUAAGAGGACUUACAUUUUGGUCUAUCUCUGGUUGUCGUUUGAUUUCAACAAUCCGUCAAAUAGUGGGAUGAAUAUGGAUACAGGCUCUAUGCUAUUGAAGAACGAUCGUUGGAGAGUAUUCUUGGAUUUUUAUUCGGUAAAUGUUGCCUUAAUAGAGGAGUUUCAGGCAUGACAUAUGUCCGGCAAGUGAUAUAUGGUGAUGAUCGGUUGCUUGUUGUUUUGUCUGAAGAUACUGAUGAACUUAAGAUGCUACAUCUUAACCUUCCAGUUUCUUAUAUCUCACAAAAUUGGUCAGUUCAGCAUGUAGCGGCUAGCAAGGAUGGAAUGUACUUGGCAAUUGCUGAUCUCCAUGGGUUAAUCAUGUACAACACGAUUCAAGAAGUGGUGUAUUUGGAGACAUUACUCAGGAACAGAAGAUUCAGAGCAACGUUUUGUUAUGGGUGAGGAAGAUUGUUGCUGUCUGCAACUACAUUGAUUCUACUAACACAUAUGAAUUGCUUUUCUAUCCAAGAUAUCACCUUGAUCAGAGCUCACUACUUUGCUGAAAGUGAUUGCUUGCGAAACCAAUGGUCAUCGAUGUCUAUCAAGAUUAUAUACUAGUCACAUAUCGCCCAUUUGAUGUACACAUAUUCCAUGUGAAAUUAUUUGGUGAGUUGACGCCUUUCACUACUCCAAAUUUAGAGGUAAAUUAAUAUUUCUUAAAUAUUUUUUUAUAGUUUUAUAUUAUUGGUUAUUUACUUAUUUAUUUUUUCUAUUAGCAGAUAGGCUGUAUAUGAUGAUUUCAUUUGCACAUAAAUAAAACUAAUGUAAUGAAAUUAAUUCUUCAUACAUUUUUAAGUGAUAAAAUGACAAACAGCUUUCUACAGUAUGAGAACUCUCAAUCAGUCAAUCAUGACUGCAAAGAGCCAUCCUGCAGCCAUACGUUUUGUUCCAGAUCAGCUUCCGAGAGAUCACAUUUCAGAUAAUCAUAUGUCUAACUCAGAUCCUUUACUAAAAGAGCCUGCAAGCUAUGUGCUCUUCCAAAAUGGUUUAUUUAGAUCUUAAUAUUUGUAGUGAUAACUGCAGACACAUGACUCUUAAUAGAUGUUUGGGUUACAUGUGGUCAAUCAGAGGAAAAAUCAAAUCUUAUUGAGAAAAAUUUCAUGGUUAGAUUAUGGCCACCGCGGAAUGCAGGUAAUUAACUGCUGAGGUUUCAUAUCACGGCUUUGAUGUCAUGUCAAAGUUUGUUAUUGCUUAUUUAUGAGCUCUAUCAACAGCAAUUUGUACUUGUCUGAUAUUUAUUCUGGUUGGAAGUUUAUUUUUACAGGUUUGGUAUCCAUCUCUGGGUGUUGACCCUUUUAUGCAGGAGGAUUUCUUGCAGGUAUGCUUGUAUUUAAGAGAGAAUGUAUAUGAUGUGGCUUUUUGAAAGAUUGUAUGGACUAGAGAUGUGAAUUUUUGUAUAACAUGUUCCUCUCAUUAUCAAUUUUUCAUUUAUGAUGAUAAGCAUAUAAUUCUUUUUUUUCUUUUGGCCUUCAUUCAAAGGCUUUAUAUUUGGACUUCUCUCGUUCUUAGAUAUUUUAAGCAAAGAUUAUUUUGCCUCUGUUUAACAGAGAUAUUGGUCUUUAGUUCUGAUUGGAUGUAGCUUAAUGGAGCUUGAAUUUGAUUGUGAGGUAUACCCUCUGGGACUUCUUCCAAAGCUGGGGUUGUUGUCGGUGUUUUACAGAGAAUGUCAUUUUCAGCCUGCAGAGAGUUUCCAUUUUUUGAGCCAACACCUCAAGCUCAAACUAUAUUACAUUGUCUUCUAAGGCACCUUAUUCAGGUAAUAGUUGCCUUUUUACUUUUGAUUUGGGGCGGGGGUUACAUAUCAUAUAGAAAACUUGAUAUUCUGAAUUCACAUAGGCUUCUUUUCUGACCUCAAACUUUGCCCUUCGUUUGCUUUUUCUGGUCAAAAGUGGCUUAAUCACAAGUACUUCAUUGUAUAAAGUCAUAAUCUGCACAUGGGAUCUAUAUUAUUUAAAAAAACCAUCUUCGCCAACCAGCAGAAAAAAACCAUCUAUAUUAUUCAAUUAUCAGCAGAAAAACCUCAUUUCUCUCAUUGUAUGGAGUGGCUUCUGUUUACUGUAUUUGAUCGGACAUAUCCAGGUAAACUUAAUUAGGGAAAGCUAAAUCAUAUCACAUGUAUAAGGGCUUGAGCACCAAUUUUGUUUUCAGAGUAAUUAUUGUCCAUUAAUUAUCGGUAAAAGCUUUCAUUGAACCAAAAAUUUAUGCUGAUCUACUUUGCAUUUGGUUUCCUAAGUAAACCAUCUAAUGGCUAUAAAUUCUGCUUGAUCGAAUAGACUUGUAACACUGGAUCCUCUCAACCCUCAGUUGGUAGGAACCAUGAACAAGAACAGGUUAGGUGGUAUGGCUAUUGUUAAUAGUUUACUGUUGUUAUUGAUUUUAUGGGCAUGUUUAGAUGCUUGCCUCACACUUCCAUCAAUUGCUUUUUGAAGAAACUGUAGGACCGUGCAAGGUUUUAACUUGGUAAAAGGAAAUGAUUGAAUGAUUGAGGAAUGAAUUCUUCUAGUUGAAUGAGUGAGAUGCAAUUGGUUCAUAUAAGGUGUUUUGGAGUCUGGGGUACCUGAGUGUGCCAUGGUGUCCUUUACUAAUCUAGUAAUGUAAUCUGGAUAAACUGUGCAAUAUGUUUGUGUUUUUGCCAUAUGGUAAAGUUAAAAAUGAUUAAUUCUAUCUUUUCCUGUUCAUCCAUAUGUUUCUGGUCACUUAAUAUAAUUAUUUUCAGGCAAAGUGCUCUGUGCUUAACUAUGCAAAGAAUUCCUCUCUUUCAGAGAAGACUACGAUAUUCUUAGAAAUUUUCUGGAGUAUUUUGAUGUGGUUGUCAGUGUUGCAAGAAAAACUGAUGGUCGACAUUGGGCGGAUUUGUGCACUGCUGCUGGGUGAUCAACAGAGUUCUUUGAGGAAUGCUUCCAAUGUAGGGCCCCGCACUGCUGUGUGCUAUACACUUGUAAGAUAGUGAUCGAGUAAUUGUGGUUCGGUUUUGUUUCUUUUUCCUUGUUUGUUGACAUAAGGUUUCCCUCACUAGGAGAAUUACUUCUAAUUUUUCUCAUUAUAAAUAAGAAUGUUGUACACUUUUGUUAUAAGGGGGAUUAUAAGUGGGAUUUCAGUUUAGUGUAACAACCAAUAUUUCUUUGGAUACAUUUCUCUAAUAAGAAGCUUUUCCAGUGAAUUGCAUAUGCCUCUAUGGUACUUCGUGCAGUGUGAUUAACACAUUUCUUGGAAGAGGUGCACUUGUUGAAAUUGAGAAAUACAAUAUUUUGUCCUAAUGUCUGGUUACAAGGCUGUGUGGAUACAAACCCAUUUUCUUUUGAUGACUACUGCAAAAAAGCUUCCAAUUUGUGCUGGUGAAUAGAGAUUACACAAUGGCUAACCACUUUUUGUUAAUUAAAUUACAUUGUUUUGAA